AGAGUUUGAUCCUGGCUCAGGACGAACGCUGGCGGCGUGCCUAAUACAUGCAAGUAGAACGCACAGGAUGCACCGUAGUUUACUACACCGUAUUCUGUGAGUUGCGAACGGGUGAGUAACGCGUAGGUAACCUGCCUGGUAGCGGGGGAUAACUAUUGGAAACGAUAGCUAAUACCGCAUAAGAACAUUUACUGCAUGGUAGAUGUUUAAAAGGUGCAAAAGCAUCACUACCAGAUGGACCUGCGUUGUAUUAGCUAGUUGGUGAGGUAACGGCUCACCAAGGCAACGAUACAUAGCCGACCUGAGAGGGUGAUCGGCCACACUGGGACUGAGACACGGCCCAGACUCCUACGGGAGGCAGCAGUAGGGAAUCUUCGGCAAUGGGGGGAACCCUGACCGAGCAACGCCGCGUGAGUGAAGAAGGUUUUCGGAUCGUAAAGCUCUGUUGUUAAGGAAGAACGUGUGUGAGAGUGGAAAGUUCACACAGUGACGGUACUUAACCAGAAAGGGACGGCUAACUACGUGCCAGCAGCCGCGGUAAUACGUAGGUCCCGAGCGUUGUCCGGAUUUAUUGGGCGUAAAGCGAGCGCAGGCGGUUAGAUAAGUCUGAAGUGAAAGGCAGUGGCUCAACCAUUGUAGGCUUUGGAAACUGUUUAACUUGAGUGCAGAAGGGGAGAGUGGAAUUCCAUGUGUAGCGGUGAAAUGCGUAGAUAUAUGGAGGAACACCGGUGGCGAAAGCGGCUCUCUGGUCUGUAACUGACGCUGAGGCUCGAAAGCGUGGGGAGCGAACAGGAUUAGAUACCCUGGUAGUCCACGCCGUAAACGAUGAGUGCUAGUGUUAGGUCCUUUCCGGGACUUAGUGCCGCAGCUAACGCAUUGAGCACUCCGCCUGGGGAGUACGACCGCAAGGUUGAAACUCAAAGGG
RNAcentral lists this ribosomal RNA (925 nucleotides) under uncultured bacterium. RNAcentral's name for it is "bacterial SSU rRNA". It matches the Rfam family "Bacterial small subunit ribosomal RNA", at positions 8 to 908 of the family's 1533-position model. The record is from RNAcentral.